Molecule: unclassified non-coding RNA, 378 nt
Filed under: uncultured bacterium
Lineage: Bacteria
Description: contains 16S-23S intergenic spacer region
Source: RNAcentral
UCCGAUUUGUCACCGGCAGUCCCACUAGAGUGCCCAACUUAACGAUGGCAACUAAUGGCAAGGGUUGCGCUCGUUGCGGGACUUAACCCAACAUCUCACGACACGAACUGACGACAGCCAUGCAGCACCUGUGCACGAUCUCCGAAGAGGGGCUCUCGUUUCUGAGAGCUUGCUCGUACAUGUCAAGCCUAGGUAAGGUUCUUCGCGUUGCGUCGAAUUAAACCACAUGCUCCACCGCUUGUGCGGGCCCCCGUCAAUUCCUUUGAGUUUUAACCUUGCGGCCGUACUCCCCAGGCGGGAUGCUUAAUGCGUUAACUUCGACGCCGCAGGGGUCAAUACCCGCGACAUCUAGCAUCCAUCGUUUACGGCGUGGACUAC